RNAcentral lists this ribosomal RNA (460 nucleotides) under uncultured bacterium. RNAcentral's name for it is "partial 16S ribosomal RNA". It matches the Rfam family "Bacterial small subunit ribosomal RNA", at positions 338 to 795 of the family's 1533-position model. The record is from RNAcentral.
CCUACGGGUGGCAGCAGUGAGGAAUAUUGGUCAAUGGACGAGAGUCUGAACCAGCCAAGUAGCGUGAAGGAUGACUGCCCUAUGGGUUGUAAACUUCUUUUAUAUGGGAAUAAAAUGUUCCACGUGUGUGAUUUUGUAUGUACCAUAUGAAUAAGGAUCGGCUAACUCCGUGCCAGCAGCCGCGGUAAUACGGAGGAUCCGAGCGUUAUCCGGAUUUAUUGGGUUUAAAGGGAGCGUAGGUGGAUUGUUAAGUCAGUGGUGAAAGUUUGCGGCUCAACCGGAAAAUUGCAGUUGAGACUGGCAGUCUUGAGUACAGUAGAGGUGGGCGGAAUGCGUGGUGUAGCGGUGAAAUGCUUAGAUAUCACGCAGAACUCCGAUUGCGAAGGCAGCUCACUGGACUGCAACUGACACUGAGGCUCGAAAGUGUGGGUAGCAAACAGGAUUAGAUACCCCAGUAGUC